RNAcentral lists this ribosomal RNA (1359 nucleotides) under uncultured soil bacterium. RNAcentral describes it as "bacterial SSU rRNA". It matches the Rfam family "Bacterial small subunit ribosomal RNA", at positions 28 to 1381 of the family's 1533-position model. The record is from RNAcentral.
AUUGAACGCUGGCGGCAUGCCUUACACAUGCAAGUCGAACGGCAGCACGGGAGCAAUCCUGGUGGCGAGUGGCGAACGGGUGUGUAAUGUAUCGGAACGUACCUUUCAGUGGGGGAUAACGUAGCGAAAGUUACGCUAAUACCGCAUAUUCUGUGUGCAGGAAAGCAGGGGAUCGCAAGACCUUGCGCUGAUUGAGCGGCCGAUAUCAGAUUAGCUAGUUGGUGAGGUAAAGGCUCACCAAGGCGACGAUCUGUAGCGGGUCUGAGAGGAUGAUCCGCCACACUGGAACUGAGACACGGUCCAGACUCCUACGGGAGGCAGCAGUGGGGAAUUUUGGACAAUGGGGGCAACCCUGAUCCAGCCAUGCCGCGUGAGUGAAGAAGGCCUUCGGGUUGUAAAGCUCUUUCGGCCGGGAAGAAAUCGCAUGGGUUAAUACCCUGUGCGGAUGACGGUACCGGCAUAAGAAGCACCGGCUAACUACGUGCCAGCAGCCGCGGUAAUACGUAGGGUGCGAGCGUUAAUCGGAAUUACUGGGCGUAAAGCGUGCGCAGGCGGUUUUGUAAGACAGGCGUGAAAUCCCCGGGCUCAACCUGGGAACUGCGCUUGUGACUGCAAGGCUAGAGUAUGGCAGAGGGGGGUGGAAUUCCACGUGUAGCAGUGAAAUGCGUAGAGAUGUGGAGGAACACCAAUGGCGAAGGCAGCCCCCUGGGCCAAUACUGACGCUCAUGCACGAAAGCGUGGGUAGCAAACAGGAUUAGAUACCCUGGUAGUCCACGCCCUAAACGAUGUCAACUAGGUGUUGGGUGGGUAANNNNAUUUAGUACCGGAGCUAACGCGUGAAGUUGACCGCCUGGGGAGUACGGCCGCAAGGUUAAAACUCAAAGGAAUUGACGGGGACCCGCACAAGCGGUGGAUGAUGUGGAUUAAUUCGAUGCAACGCGAAAAACCUUACCUACCCUUGACAUGUCCAGGAGCCUGAAGAGAUUUGGGUGUGCCCGAAAGGGAACUGGAACACAGGUGCUGCAUGGCUGUCGUCAGCUCGUGUCGUGAGAUGUUGGGUUAAGUCCCGCAACGAGCGCAACCCUUGUCGUUAAUUGCCAUCAUUCAGUUGGGCACUUUAACGAGACUGCCGGUGACAAACCGGAGGAAGGUGGGGAUGACGUCAAGUCCUCAUGGCCCUUAUGGGUAGGGCUUCACACGUCAUACAAUGGUCGGUACAAAGGGUCGCCAACCCGCGAGGGGGAGCCAAUCCCAGAAAGCUGAUCGUAGUCCGGAUCGCAGGCUGCAACUCGCCUGCGUGAAGUCGGAAUCGCUAGUAAUCGUGGAUCAGCAUGUCACGGUGAAUACGUUCCCGGGUCU